AAAUCCUGCCAGCUCCUCACACACAAUUUAGACGUUUCAAGUCACAGUUGGCUUUUUAAUCUGCAGAGGGACCAUCGCACCACACAGGACCUGUUCCAGUGCGAGGCCAGUCUUCGCAGAGGAGUGUUUCUGCCUUGGGCUGCAGGGAGCACUUCAUCCAGGCUCUACAUUUCCUGCCCUGCCAGGGGACACAUUCAGAGCUCAACUCCUUUUUUUCAGGAGCUGAAACACAGAGAAAGAGGCAGAGACAUGGGCAGAGGGAGAAGCAAGCUCCAUGAAGGGAGCCCAACGCGGGACUCAACCCCAAGGACUCCAGGAUCACGCCCUGGGCUGAAGGCAGGCACUAAACCCCUGAGCCACCCAGGGAUCCCCGAAACUUUUACAAUCUAUUACCAAAACUAGAUCAAAUUUAAAAACAAAAACUUUGUCCUCUCAACAGAUAGAAAACCAAAUUCUAAUUUUGCACCAGCUUACUUUUGUAUUAGAACAUAUUCUUUCCACAAAUUGAACUCCAAUAAAAAGAAAUUUAAAAAGAACA
This is a long non-coding RNA of Canis lupus familiaris (dog), 538 nucleotides long. RefSeq lists it as uncharacterized. The record is from RefSeq and is a predicted model, not a curated record. NCBI's taxonomy places the organism in Eukaryota, Metazoa, Chordata, Mammalia, Carnivora, Canidae. The transcript is spliced from 2 exons.